UGGCCUUGCAUUAUAAGAUGGAUCCCCCAA
This 30-nucleotide non-coding RNA is filed under the name Mus musculus (house mouse). Lineage: Eukaryota; Metazoa; Chordata; Mammalia; Rodentia; Muridae. The record is from RNAcentral.